Molecule: ribosomal RNA, 392 nt
Filed under: uncultured bacterium
Lineage: Bacteria
Description: bacterial SSU rRNA
Rfam family: Bacterial small subunit ribosomal RNA
Source: RNAcentral
AUUGAACGCUGGCGGCAUGCCUUACACAUGCAAGUCGAACGGCAGCACGGGAGCAAUCCUGGUGGCGAGUGGCGAACGGGUGAGUAAUAUAUCGGAACGUGCCCAGUCGUGGGGAUAACGUAGCGAAAGCUACGCUAAUACCGCAUACGAUCUAUGGAUGAAAGCGGGGGAUCGCAAGACCUCGCGCGAUUGGAGCGGCCGAUAUCAGAUUAGGUAGUUGGUGAGGUAAAGGCUCACCAAGCCGACGAUCUGUAGCUGGUCUGAGAGGACGACCAGCCACACUGGGACUGAGACACGGUCCAGACUCCUACGGGAGGCAGCAGUGGGGAAUUUUGGACAAUGGGCGCAAGCCUGAUCCAGCAAUGCCGCGUGAGUGAAGAAGGCCUGUGUAG